This 438-nucleotide ribosomal RNA is filed under the name uncultured bacterium. RNAcentral describes it as "partial 16S ribosomal RNA". It matches the Rfam family "Bacterial small subunit ribosomal RNA", at positions 339 to 795 of the family's 1533-position model. The record is from RNAcentral.
CUACGGGUCGCACCAGUGGGGAAUAUUGGGCAAUGGGGGAAACCCUGAUCCAGCAAUGCCGCGUGGAGGAUGACACUUUUCGGAGCGUAAACUCCUUUUAUAUAGGAAGAAGAUGACGGUACUAUAUGAAUAAGCGCCGGCUAACUCCGUGCCAGCAGCCGCGGUAAUACGGAGGGCGCAAGCGUUACUCGGAAUCACUGGGCGUAAAGAGCGUGUAGGCGGAUUAAAAAGUCAGAAGUGAAAUCCUAUAGCUUAACUAUAGAACUGCUUCUGAAACUCUUAAUCUAGAAUAUGGGAGAGGUAGAUGGAAUUUCUGGUGUAGGGGUAAAAUCCGUAGAGAUCAGAAGGAAUACCGAUUGCGAAGGCGAUCUACUAGAACAUUACUGACGCUAAGGCGUGAAGCGUGGGGAGCAAACAGGAUUAGAUACCCUGGUAGUC